ACAACAUUCAGACCGUCGGUUUACCGAGCAAUAUCGCCCGCUCGGUGAAAAUCUUCCUUUAGUCGU
Molecule: microRNA precursor, 66 nt
Filed under: Bombyx mori (domestic silkworm)
Lineage: Eukaryota; Metazoa; Arthropoda; Insecta; Lepidoptera; Bombycidae
Description: mir-2774 microRNA precursor family
Rfam family: mir-2774 microRNA precursor family
Source: Rfam by way of RNAcentral